RNAcentral lists this ribosomal RNA (616 nucleotides) under Leucobacter komagatae. RNAcentral's name for it is "bacterial SSU rRNA". It matches the Rfam family "Bacterial small subunit ribosomal RNA", at positions 37 to 667 of the family's 1533-position model. The record is from RNAcentral. Lineage: Bacteria; Bacillati; Actinomycetota; Actinomycetes; Micrococcales; Microbacteriaceae.
UGGCGGCGUGCUUAACACAUGCAAGUCGAACGAUGAAGCCCAGCUUGCUGGGUGGAAGAGUGGCGAACGGGUGAGUAACACGUGAGUAACCUGCCCUGAACUCUGGGAUAAGCACUGGAAACGGUGUCUAAUACUGGAUACGACCUAUCACCGCAUGGUGUGUGGGUGGAAAGAUUUAUCGGUUCUGGAUGGACUCGCGGCCUAUCAGCUAGAUGGUGAGGUAAUGGCUCACCAUGGCGACGACGGGUAGCCGGCCUGAGAGGGUGACCGGCCACACGGGACUGAGACACGGCCCAGACUCCUACGGGAGGCAGCAGUGGGGAAUAUUGCACAAUGGGCGCAAGCCUGAUGCAGCAACGCCGCGUGAGGGAUGACGGCCUUCGGGUUGUAAACCUCUUUUAGAGGGAAGAAGCGAAAGUGACGGUACCUGCAGAAAAAGCACCGGCUAACUACGUGCCAGCAGCCGCGGUAAUACGUAGGGUGCAAGCGUUGUCCGGAAUUAUUGGGCGUAAAGAGCUCGUAGGCGGCUUGUCGCGUCUGCUGUGAAAACCCGGGGCUCAACCCCGGGCCUGCAGUGGGUACGGGCAGGCUAGAGUGCGGUAGGGGAGAUUGGAAU